This 348-nucleotide ribosomal RNA is filed under the name Galeommatoidea sp. MN13197. RNAcentral describes it as "partial 16S ribosomal RNA". It matches the Rfam family "Archaeal large subunit ribosomal RNA", at positions 1954 to 2584 of the family's 2987-position model. The record is from RNAcentral. Lineage: Eukaryota; Metazoa; Mollusca; Bivalvia; Galeommatida.
CCCGGUGAGAUUUAAACGGCCGCAGUUAGGAGCUGUGCUAAGGUAGCGUAGUAAGUUGUCCUUUAAAUGGGGAAAGGAAUGAAUGGUUUGACGUGAGAAUUACUGUCUCCAGUGAAGUUUGAAAAAUUUUCUUCUUGGUGAAAAGCCCAAGAUUUUUUUAAAAGACGAGAAGACCCUUUCGAGCUUGAUAAAUUAAUAAAUAAUUUUAUUAUUUAAGUUUAGUUGGGGCAACUUAGGAGCAAGGGUAGACUCCUUUAAGAUAAUAUAGAUCCAAAAGUUUUGAAUAAAGAAAAAGCUACCGUAGGGAUAACAGCGUUAUCUCCUCUGAGAGAACAAAUUGAAGAGGGG